GUGGACCACUAGAGCACAAGCAUUUAACAGCAAACAUUGUCACGAUGGGCUUAUGCCCCUCGUCACUGAGCUCACAGAGUAGUUGCUUUGGGAAAAGAGGGAGUAAAAGGAAAGUUUCUCCCCACGGAGAAAUGGUGGAUUACUAAUAGAGAGGUAGCCAACAUCCAGAGUUUUGAGGAGAAAGCAGAGAAGAGGUGCAAGACUCCUCUGCAUAUCUGUGAACCUGUCUAACCAGAACACAGCAUAUUUCCCAGGCAAGUUUCAGAAAGAUUUUGUGAUCUCUUGUUAAGAUAGGUGCACAAAAGUGCCUGGAGGGUUGUUGGUUUUUUUUUUUAAAGCGUGAGUAACUUCUCUUAUAUAGCAAACUGCUGCUUUUAAUAACUCCUGAGUCCUUGAAAGUGAAGCAUGAACAGUGAGACAGAAAGAGCAGGCAGUCACGGCAGCCGCCUCUGAGAGGCUGCGCUCGAGGCCACUUUGCCUCCAUUUCAGGCAGAUGAGAAACAAGUCAUCACUGCUGCUCCAGCACUCCUGGGAGACGGGUCCAGCAAAUGUCACCAGAUGUCCUGGUCAGACACCCAGGAAGCAGUGCUGAGGUGCACGGCAAUGGACCUCACCCUGAGCAGUGUGAGAGGCCACGGAUAAUCACUGGGUGGGUGGGAGAAGUCUUUCCUCUGUCCUUGACACGUCACGGCCUUUAAGGCAAUGCCAGGCAGGGUGAGGACUGCCUGGAUAUAAUGUACCAGAGGGGGGUUUGCAAAUAUUUUGUAAGCAUUUUGAUAAAGGUGGCUGGCUCCGCCCUGUCCCUCAGCACCACUCCAGCCUGUGGGGACUGAGGAGGCGCCAGACGGAGGGACACAGGGAGCAGGGGCCGAAGAGGGCACAGGCCGCACAGCGAGAAGGACACAGAGGCUUGGGGCUGAGCUCUCCAUGUCCCACCACCAUGAUAAAGAUGGCUUUCGCUGCAGCUGCCUCUAGAGGGCUCCUUGCGUUGUUGGAGAGACAGAGCCCUUUGUUCUCGCUUCACGCAGUACCGCCGCCACAGAAACGCUCCGUGCUUUGCUUUGCUUUUUAAUCUUCCUUCUGCUCCCUCUAAAAUCAUCCAUGGCUUGAUCUCCAAACUGAAGGUGUGAGGUGCGAGGGGGUCUGUUUGCCAUCGGGGAGGCACCGGGGAGAGUCCCCUUUGCCAUCCUGCAACCCUCUCAGGGUUUGUGGCCUUAAAAACCGUGCUCCUUUGCUCUUAAACUCUACCUCUCGUCUGCUCAUUCUGGCACUUCUGCUGUGGGGCUGACAUGCUGUGGGUAUUGGUCCUGCUGCCCAGGGUGGGCUGCCACAAGCACUGAGAUUCAAGAUCAGUGCCACAGCCAGGUUUUGGCAUUUGGACAGAAUUUCUGCACUCAAAAAAAGAGAAAGCCAGACUAAAGGUGUUAUUAGUCCCAUGCUUCAAUCAGCCAGAUAAACAUGCAUCUCCAGACACUUGCCAAGCCUUCAGAGGUAUUCAGGACUGAUUUUCUUCUCCCGGGCCAGUUGCUAGAAAUCACAUAAUUAUAGGGGUUGAAAAAGGGACCUCUGGAGACGAGACCAUCAAGCUCAGCCCCCUGCUAAAGCAGGUUCCCCACAGCAGGUCACACAGGAAAGUGUCCAGGUGGGUUUUGAAUAUCUCAAGAGAAGGAGACUCAAUGACCUCUCUGGGCAGCCUGUUCCAGUGAUCUUUCACCCCCAAAAGAAAGAAGUUCUUAAACAUCUUCCUGGUGUUAGUGGACCUUCUUGUGUACAGUUUGUCCUUGUUGCCCCUUGUUCCAUUGUCACACACCACUGAAAAGAGCCUGGCCUCAUCCACUUGACUCCCACACUUUAGAUAUUUAUAAACAGAGAUGAAAUCUUCCCCUCAGUCAUCUCCUCCCCAGGCUGAACAGCCCCAGGUCUUUCAUCCUUUCCUCAGAAAAGAGACGUUCCAGGUUUCUCACCCUGUUUGUGGCCUUCCACUGGAUUCCAUCUAGGAGAUCACUGUCGUUUUUGAACUGAAGAGCCCAGAACUGGACACAGUACUCCUGUUGUGGCCUCACCAGAGCACAGUAGAGGGGGAAGAUUGCCUCCCUCGGAUUGCUGGCCAUGCUCUUCGUGAUGAACCCUAGGAUAACACUCGCCUUUUUGGCCACAAGGACACAAGGAAUGCAUUGAAACCAGAACCCACCCAUGUCAGAGACAAGCCUUGGGCAUACUGAGAUAUUAUGUACACCUUCCUGCUUUACAUGUCCUGCCUGGCAAUUGAGUGGUUCUCCCACAUGAAGAGGACAACAGUGAACAGUUAAGCAGUGAAAUCCAUCAGGCUGAGGAGCAAAAUAUUUUGGGUGCAUCAUGGAGCUGAUUUAAUGAUGUGGGAUGCUGGAGGUGCUUCUUUUCAAGCUCAUCUUUUCUGCGUUGGAAACUGAAAUACUUGCUUCAGAGUUUAAUAGUUGGAGCGUGAUCCUGAUGCUACAAAAGCCCAAACCAAACUUUCUGCUUUUUUUAAAGAGCCAGAUCUACCUUUAUGCUCUCUACAGUGUUUCUGGAUAUUGAUAACUUUCAUAGCAGAAACAUUAGGAACAAGUACAUCCAUACUGGGAGUGUCUUUUCUUCUGGACAUCUCUCCUACAACUCAGAUGUGUUAUGUUGGGAACCUCAACCUUGAGAAUCCAAAGAUAGAGUUGUACAAAAUCUGUAGAAACUUGGGAAAACAUCAAUGUUAGCCUCUGUCACUGUGAAGUGCAUGUAACUCUCAUUUGAGUAUUUUUGCUUCUUACUGUAUGCUGUGUGUAUCCUAAUAUUUGUCUUGCAUUACAAAUAAACAGAGAACACAUUUGUGUACUAAUUUUGUUAGCAAUCCCCUCUUUUUAAUAUAUCUAAGCACAAGACUGAUAAUUACGAUUUAAAAAAACCUACUUUUCAUAGCUUAGGGGCUUAAACUUUUAUAUUCUUCCUUUAUUCUGAAUGUAUCCCUCAGGAAACAACUCUCUGUAAUAAUCACCUUGC
This is a long non-coding RNA of Gallus gallus (chicken), 3009 nucleotides long. RefSeq lists it as uncharacterized. NCBI's taxonomy places the organism in Eukaryota, Metazoa, Chordata, Aves, Galliformes, Phasianidae. The record is from RefSeq and is a predicted model, not a curated record. The transcript has 4 exons.